Long non-coding RNA from Haemorhous mexicanus (house finch), 508 nucleotides. RefSeq lists it as uncharacterized. NCBI's taxonomy places the organism in Eukaryota, Metazoa, Chordata, Aves, Passeriformes, Fringillidae. The transcript is spliced from 5 exons. The record is from RefSeq and is a predicted model, not a curated record.
AGAAGCUGUUCUUUCGGCUGGCUCCAGCAUUUGGAACAUAAGUCAGUGGGUCAGGUCGGAUCAAGUAUCUACAAAAGGAAACCACAGCUGUUACUCAAACACAUGGUGCAAGCCAGGGAAGCACUUCCCUUUUAUCACCCGUGCCGAGGGCUUGAAAUGUGAAGGCUAUAUAAAUGGAAAUUGGUUAUUAUGGCCUGUGAAACCCCUGGAAAAUAUUUAGGCCUGAAUCUUUCUGCAGAGAGUUGUACAGAAACUUAAAGAAAGAAGGCAUAGAAAUUAUUCAGCGCAGCUGGACAUGGGGUUUGGCUGCAGUGGAGCUGAGGGCGUUCAGCUCUUCCUUCUUAGCAAGUGUUCCUGAAUUGGGCACCCUUUACUAGACUUGGACUUUUCAUGUAAAAAGCUCAUUUAUAACUUAAAUACUUUUAUCAAGUGCAAAAAGCAGCUCUCCAGGCUAUGUCUCUGCCAGAACACCACCUAAACACAAGAUAAGCCUUCAUGCUACUACAGG